UACGGGGGGGGCAAGCGUUGUUCGGAAUUACUGGGCGUAAAGGGCGCGUAGGCGGCUUUAUAAGUCGGGGGUGAAAGCCUGUGGCUCAACCACAGAAUUGCCUUCGAUACUGUAGAGCUUGAGACCGGAAGAGGUAAGUGGAACUGCGAGUGUAGAGGUGAAAUUCGUAGAUAUUCGCAAGAACACCAGUGGCGAAGGCGGCUUACUGGUCCGGUUCUGACGCUGAGGUGCGAAAGCGUGGGGAGCAAACAGG
This 253-nucleotide ribosomal RNA is filed under the name uncultured bacterium. Its description in RNAcentral is "partial 16S ribosomal RNA". It matches the Rfam family "Bacterial small subunit ribosomal RNA", at positions 524 to 776 of the family's 1533-position model. The record is from RNAcentral.